This is a long non-coding RNA of Globicephala melas (long-finned pilot whale), 4326 nucleotides long. RefSeq lists it as uncharacterized. The record is from RefSeq and is a predicted model, not a curated record. NCBI's taxonomy places the organism in Eukaryota, Metazoa, Chordata, Mammalia, Artiodactyla, Delphinidae.
CUCCAGAUAGGCGGGCGCUCGCCUGUCCCAGUGCGGCUCCUCACCGGGCUCCGCACGCCGUCCUCAGCAAAGGCAAACGCCCUGCUAGCAGAGAAGCCAGCAGAGAAGCUCCGCUCCGCAGUAUCCUUGGCGGGGAAAAAGGGGCCGCAGCGGCUGCUUGAGGACGCCGGAAACUGGCCCAAGGGCCGUGCCGGAAGUCCCGCCUCUCCGCACAUGUCUCCGCCCCAUCCGUCCAGGGCUACUUUCCGGUUUCGAAGACCAACUACGGGGUCUAGUACUGCUCCUUCCUCACCGUGUAACAGAACGGAAUGAAAAGUAUGACACCUUUAAAGUACUGGUCUCCAACCUUUUUGGCACCAGGGACCCAGUUUCGUGGAAGACAGUUUUUCCACCGACAGGGUGGCGGGGGACUGGUGCACGCGAUGGGGAGAGGCACAUGAAGCUUCGCUCGUUCGCCCACCGCUCACCUCCUGCUGUGCAGCCCGCUCCCUGACAGGCCAAGGACCAGGACCCCUGCUUUAAAGGAUGAGCCUGGGAGGCAGAGCCUUGAGAAUGGGCUGUAUUUCAGGCUAUGGGCAACAUUCCUUUACAAAGGUGCAGAGUCACCAUAACUAAGAACAGACAACAGAGCACACAGAUUAAAGAUUAAAGGAACAGAUCCAAUAUGGAGUCAGGUUUGUUCUCCCUUACACGUCUCACCCAUUCUCGAGGGCUAUCUCAGAAGUCAUCUCCUUGAUACUUCCCUUGAAACACCCAAUCUCUGAAGUCAUUUCCUGCUUUCCUACUUGAACAGCAUCUGGCACUUAUUGCUGUCUUUUAUUAACCACUACCACUGGCAGCAGUGUCCGUCUUUUCUUGCAUCAGCUAUUCCAAAACUUUACGCUGUCAAGUUUCCUACCCUGACGGACAGCUACCACAGGUCUUGCCUGUUAUCCCUAGGGGAGCAAUAUCUUGGGAUACAUAGUACCACCUCCCUCACUGCUCCCUUCCCACACUCAUGUUGGGAGUCUCCACUUGUCUCCCUUUGAUCCAAAUAAAUUAAACCCCUUGAGUGCAGAGACGGUCAUCCUAUGCACUCUAUAUGAAAAUGACGAAAUGAAAAGCUUUCAGGAGCAGUCUGACAUAAUAGAAUACAGGCUCUAGUUUACACCUAUGGAACCCCUUGACAAAACUGCUGAUCUGCCCUUGACUGGGGACUCAUUUACCAACAUCCCCUCUGCCCGCUGCUGCAGUCAGCCAUGUUGUAAGCUAUAACACUUCCUGGUCCCUGGACUAGGGACCCUUUGCUUUUCCUCCUCACUGGGUCUGGAGGUUGUUUUCGUCUUAUAUUUACUAAGUCUAAGUUUUCUGUUUGAGGGCCUACUUGGUUGAAGGAAACCGAAACUGAUCCUAGUUUCCCCUUCAGAAUUAGGAGCUGUCUUUGACCAGAUUAAAACACCACCCAAGGUGGGUAAUAUUAAGACAUGCAUUUUUCUAAAUGUUUACUCUGGCUGCAAUAUGGAGAACAGAUGGGAGAGAUGCCAAAAUGUGAGUAACUAAAUCUCUGUGUGAGACCAGAUAAGAAUCUAUUGCAGGGCCACAGAGAGAUGCUUAAACUAAAAAGUGUGGAAACAAAGCAAACAAAACAAAUUUAAGAAAUCUUUAGGAGGUAAGAGAAAUUGGUGGUAAAUUAGAUUAAGGGUAAGGGAGAGGAAGGCAUCAAGAUAAUUAUUAGGUUCCAGGUUUGGGCAAUUGGGUAGUAUGGUGUCAUUCACUGUGAUGUGGAAUGAUGGAACAUGACUAAUGGCUUCCUCCUUACCAAAAGACUCAAAUGGCUUUGCCUGCCAAAGGGCAAAAUGAGUAAAGAUGGGAUGGGACCUCAGAAGGAGAACUUUAGAAAGAAAAAGAUGGGUUAAAGAACCCAGAGGAUAAAUAAAUAAAUAAGUAAAUAAAUAAAUAAAAGAACCCAGAGGAGGAGCGGAGGUGUAAAGAAAACAGUAUCAGAACUAAAACAAAAAGAGUAGAAUUCCAUAACUUACCUUGAUCAUUAGUAUCGGUGGACACUGCCCACUGUGUGUCCCAGGUCCUUGCACAGAUGUUUUCACUAUAUCUGACAUCUAAUGACCAAUCAGGGGCCAAGGAAAAUUUUAGCAAAAAAGAUUUCCAUUUUGGUUGGUAUCAAAAUUUUAUUAUUGGUAAUAACUUUGAAGCUGUCAGUAAGAAAGUAAUUUAUUUCACCAAAAACAUUUUACUUCAGAAGAACAUCUCUUUGAUCUAGGAUCAAAGGUCAGUGACCUGGAAAUUAUAUAUAUAUAUAUAUAUAUAUAUAUAUAUAUGUAUAAUCUGGAGCAGACUUCUGUUCUAAAACAGUCAUUGACUAAUUUUACAGAGGAAGGAACCAAAAACAACUGAGGUCUUAAGAAGUUUAUUUAAGUCAUAUGAUAAAAGGUUCUGGCUAGCAUACUAGCAAUAUCCUGCCUCCUAUUUUACUCAGAUGUAUUGCUUUGUCUCAGGUCAUUUCAUGAGUACACACACAUAUACACACAAGUGAUUGCAAAUAUCUAUAGAGCACAGAUCACCGUGCCUACUCUACCUAAAGCAAGGAUUUUUUUAAAAAAAGAUACUUCAUAACCAUGUUUUUGAAAGCUUAGGGUUUCGUGGAAGUGCCUUAGGAAGCUUGUUAAGAGUGAGGUGGAGGCUGAACAGUGGGCCUAUGGGUCCCAUUCCCGCUUCAACUGAUAUAUGGACCUGCUCCCAUCUAUUUUAGGUAUCGGAUGAUUACACUUCUAUGUUACUAUUCUUUUGAAAAUCCAGUUCUGUUAACAAUCAAAGUUUGAAAACCACUGUACUUGAUUAAGGACUAGGGUAUGAAUUUGAGUAUGUACACACUACAGCCAAGAGCCUUCACCACAGGUCAUAGGCAUAUAGACACAGGGCAGGGUCAGAAUACACAGGACCAUUAACACCACAGAUAUUUGGAGUCCAGAAUAAUCACAAAUUGUUAAUCCUGAUAAUGGCUAAGGGGAAAGAUGUUGGCAGGCAGGCAGGCACUUAAGUUACUAUCUACUAAAACAAGAUGCUAUCGUUACUGAAUUGCAACUUCUCUGGAUAAACCAGGGUUAACCUGUGAAAGCUUAGAGACCUGUCUUCAGGCACAGUAAAGUUGGAACUGUGUAAGAGUCCUUUAGAGAUGAAAUAUUUUGAUGUCCAUGCUGCACUUUCCUCAGAACCACUUUGCUACAGAAAACUCUGUUCCUGCCCUAAUAUGACUGCUCUCAAUUGGAGUGUGAACUUGGACAGUAUUCCGACAAUUAAUGAAUAUAAAGGUGUGUUGUAAUGUCUUAAUGAAAAUGGUAUCAGGCCAAGGUCUCUCUUUUCUUUCUUUUUAAAAUUCUAUAUGGCUCACUGCCUGUGGAGAAACAGGAGUGCCCUCAACUAACUCCUACUUUUCAAUCUGUUCAGCAGCUUAAACUUGAACUUGUGCAUCAGAUCCUUCUAAGGCCAAAAGAACAUUGCCUUUAAGUGCCAAAUACAUUAGUUACUCCCAUGAGCCAAGUAAUCAACUUAGGAUCCCUGGUACAUUUCUUUGGUUCAGCUGCAAGGCCCCCCUGCUCAGAGAUCUUCCGCUCUUCCAUCUCCAGCUCAGGCGUGGCCAAUAGGAAUCCAAUACCUGCUCCAAAGUUUUAGAAGUAACUUAAGUCAUAGAAUCAAAAUUGCUCGCGAGUCUUCCUGAUAUAUGUCAGCAAUUCUGUUAAUUCAUUGAAGAAAAAAAAAAAGGAAUGUGAAUGUUUACUUUCAUUAAAUCUGUGCUCAGUGAUUUUACAGCAAAGAACAUAUAUGUGUUGCACACGAAAUGAAAUUAAUUAACAGACAGGUUAUAUACUGAAGUACAAAAACAAGUGUUUGACUUGGAAAUUGAACUUUAUUUACAAAUGUUCUCCUAUAGACAAAGAUUCCAUUCCACCCCCUUUAAAAUAUUAUAACUAAUACUUCCCAGAAAAAUCAUUUACAUUGUUUUAAUCUUUCUGCAUAAAACAGUAUUAUGGGAUAAGCAAAUAUGGGAUGGUCUAAGACAUAAAAAAACAAAAGACAAUUUAUCCACCAUGAAUGCUCUACUGACUGACAGAAUGAAGAAUUACAAAUCACACCCCUUAAUGUGCUACUCCGAGAAACGGAAACGUGCUGAUUUGGGGAGGUAAAUGCUUCACAAUAAAGUCUUCUUCCGUAGUAUGGUUUAAUGGUGAUUGUUUAGGAUUGCUCCUGCAGCCUGCUAUUUAUGCUGAUUUUAAAAAAUAAGUCAUCAUUGUUAAAAAGGGCAUAGACUUUUCUAUACAGAUUUUUUUUUUA